UAUGUCUCUUGUUUCCGAAGAAGAACUAUGCUUGAAAUGUAAAACAACCACUCUUUCUUUCCUUCUUUGAGCAUCUCAUUAAUACUUUGCAUGUACUACAUCCUCACGUUUUUUCUUGUCUUCUUUUCUCCAUAUUUAAAAAUUAGUUACAUAUAUAUAUAUAUAUUAGAAGGUUUGGAGGUGAUGUACAGGUAUUAUAUAUUAGAACAAAUAAGGUACUCAGAAACUUGGAUGGUUGCACAUUUACAAAUUUUUAUUAAUAUGUCGUUUUUAUAAAUCAUAUAUUGGCACUUGCAUCUACUCUAGUAGAUUCUUAAGAUAUAUGAUUUAUAAAAAUAUGUGACAUAUUAAAAAUCUGUAAAUGUACAACCAUCCAGAUUUCUGAGUACCUUAUUUUUUCUAUUAUAUAUAUAUAUUAGAAAAAAUAACACCCACACACACACAUAUGUGUGUGUGUUUGUCCACCUUUUACUGUUUGACAACUGGUGUUAAUGUGUUUACGUCCCUGUAACUUAGCAGUUCAGUAAAAAGGAAUGAUAGAAUAUCAGGCUUUAAAAAGAAGUCCAGUGGUUGAUUUGUUUGCUUAAAACCCUUCAAAGCAGUGCUCCAGCAUGGCUGUGGUCAAAUAUAUUUAUUUUUUCAAUACAAUUCCUAAUAAUAUUUAAUUACAAAAGUAUAGUGAGAUUUUAAACAUGAAAUGACUGAGGGUCCAUCUGAGUAAAAUUGCGAUCAAAGAGGUCCAUAGGCAAGAAAUGGUUGAGAACCAUUGAUGUAGGCAAUCAAGUUAUUUAGAAAGGGACCAUUUCAAACUACUGGUAUAGCAGUAUCAUCAUUAACCGCUAGAAGAGCAAAAGCGGUUCACUUAGAGAGAAAGAAAAUAAGAAGAGCAUGAAACAGAUGGACCGGUAGCAAAAAGAAUAUAGCACAAUUAAUUAAGACGAAAAUUAACUUACAUAAGAUGGAGCUUGGAGUACCAGUGACUACAGGAGUUGUUUUUAGUAAAGUGCAACCCAUUACACUAAGCAUUGUGGAGGCGCAAUGGCCCAGUGGUUAGGGCAGCGGACUCGCGGUCAUAGGAUCGCGAUUUCGAUUCCCAGACCGGCCAUUGUGAGUGUUUAUUGAGCGAAAACACCUAAAGCUCCACGAGGCUCCGGCAGGGGAUGGUGGUGAUCCCUGCUGUACUCUUUCACCACAACUCUCUCUCUCUCUCUUACUUCCUGUUUCUGUUGUACCUGUAUUUCAAAGGGCCGGCCUUGUCACUCUCUGUGUCACGCUGAAUAUCCCCGAGAACUACGUUAAGGGUACACGUGUCUGUGGAGUGCUCAGCCACUUACACGUUAAUUUCACGAGCAGGCUGUUCCGUUGAUCGGAUCAACUGGAACCCUCGUCGUCGGAACCGACGGAGUGCUUCCAUCCACACUAAGCAUUCACUGAUUUGGAGAAGGUCUUCAACAGUGUACUACUCUCUAUAGUGUGGUUAUUAAGAAAACUUGUGUAGAUAGUUUGUAAGAGCUGUGUAAAUAUGUACAGAGAUGUCUGCAAGGUGAGACCAACUUAGGAUAUAGACCUAAUUCUAACCCAGCCCCCUAUUCUCCUGGUCAUAACAGAAGUGUUUAAGACUAGCUGUCUGCAGGAACUCCUCUAUGCCAAUGAACUAAAAUAUAAAUGAAUCUAAAACAAAAUAUUGCUCUCAAAACAACACGAGAGAUGAAAGAGUGGCUGGUCAGUAAAAGUAUCAGCUGACUGUAUAUUAAGAAAAGGUGUUAGUGCUGGUUGAAUACAAAUCAAACAUAAAAUCUGUUGGGUAAUGAAAAUGCUAAAUGCCAAAGUGGAAUGCCUCUGAGCCAGAGGAAGAAGUCGCUAAGUCACAGAUACAAAAAUAACUUGGAAUUAAGGAGAGUCCCUUAUUAAUUAACCAACUAGACAGCUAGUUCGACUUGGCUAACCUAGGAUUGGCUAUCUAUCUUAAAAAUGUGGUAAUAUUUAAUCUGAUUUCUUUGUGUGUGAGUCUGGCAACAGAAAUAGCAUGCAGGUAUGAAAUAUUCUUUUCUACUCUAGGUACAAGGCCCAAAAUUUUUUGGGAAGGGAGCCAGCCGAUUAGAUUGACCCCAGUACACAACUGGUACAUAAUUUAAAUUUAUCCCCGCCAAGGAUGCAAGGCAAACUUGAUCUUGGCAGAAUGUAAAGACAGAUGAAAUACUGCUAAGCAUUUUGCCCGGUGUGUUAAUGUUUCUACCAGCUUGCUGCCUUAUCCAGGUAUCAAAUAUUGGCAACAGAAAGGGCAUCCAAGCAUCAUCUAUAAGAAUUCAUCUUUAUCACUAUCUAAAUAUUCAUAGAGAUGCGUCUUUUCUCCUUUCUUAACCCCACUCUCUUUUAUUUAAAUUCUGUAAUGUGUCACUCUGGUAAUACAGAAAACAAAUAAGACCAGUUUCUUUUGGCAUCAGACAAUACCUUGCUCCUACUAUCAACCUACAGGACAUGAACUUCUCUAUUCACUACAAAACACUACUAAUCUUUGACUUGAAAUUCUCUUAUUAACCCUCUCUCAUUCUCAUCAUUUAAAAUCUGUAGAAACUCUGCCAGAUCAAGACUGGAGCCUGGUGCAGCCAUCUGGUUGCCAGCCCUCAGUCAAAAUCGUCCAACCCAUGCUAGGAUGGAAAACGGAUGUUAAACAAUGAUGAUGAUGAUGAAAGGUAAUCAGUGCAAGACCAUCCCAUUUGAAAAUAGUUAAUCACUGUAGUGUGACUGAAAAGUGACAGCUUGCAUUGUUUAAUGUAAACAUAGAAAUAUGUCAGAGGCAGCUCCUAUACCCAGUGGUUUUUACUGUCACUAAGAACUUCCUGGUCAAUAACCACCUGUCCUCUGGCUGGCAACAAGCUGAAUAUGUUGGCCUAUAAGUAUUGAAAUAAAGCCUAAUGUAGGGAAAGGUUUCUCUGUAGACCCUUCACAGAUUACUCUGGUGAUGUAUCUAGAUAUGUUAUUGGAUGUGAAAUAAAUGUACAGAGACAACUUGGAGAUGAAGGAACGCACUUUGGUCUUCUGAGGGAUAAGACAAACUUUUUGAUGCUAGUGAAUGGACAAGUGGAUAUAGUGUAAUGCAGAGAGAAUUCCUUGGUCUUUCUGUAAACAAGGCAACGUCUCUGGUACUGAUGCCAUUAUAAGAUGUAUCCAGUACACUUUGUAAAGUGGUUGAUGAUAGGAAGGACAACCACUCAUAAAAAUUAGGCUGCAAAAUGAAAUGAGUGAAUGAGAUGUGAUUCCUAAUCUAAGAGGGCAAUAUUUUCAAAUAAGAACUGGUUCAGAUUGUGGUAACCCAACUCAAUCCUGCAAGAAAAAGUAGGCAUUUCACAAUUUGUCAUGUCCUUUAGCAAUUUGUCAUGUUCUUUAGCAUCCUAAAAUCAGCUUUCACCACUUUUGCUUAUGUUUUCUUCCUCGGUCUUCCACUUGGAUUUCCUGUCACUUCUUUUCUUAAUUGUCAUCAUUCAGGGUUGCUGAAGCGUGGAAUAAACUGCCUGCAUCAGUUGUUGACUGCCAUGACACUGCAUCCUUUAAGGCCCUCAUGCUUCCCGAAAUCCGUCGAAACUACACCUGAUUAUAUAUACACUUUAGAUGAGUUGUAGUGCACCUGAGCACUGUACACAAUUAUUAUUAUUAUUAUUAUUAUGUGCAUAAGAUGUCCAUACCAGUGCAGUCUUCUCUCUUGCACUGUUCUGCUGAAUCCUCUUAUACCCACUAGGGCCUUAUCAAUUCACAUACACUAACAUUACAUACCCAGUGGAACAUGCUUGCUUUCCAGCCUUUGCUCAUUCUCCACAUCAAGCCCCAUGUUUUAUUCUCAUGCAGCAACAUCACAUCACACACAAAUAUCAUACAAUUUGUCUUUGGGUCAAAAAGAGAAUCUCUUUGUUGCCAGUGGGGUUAUUAGCUUCCUGAGCAUUUUCCACCCUGUUCUUAUUAACUCUGAUAUGUUCAGGUUACCCUCCUCUACUACUGGUUUGCUCACCUAGGCUAGUGGUUAUUAAGCCUAUUUUGUCACGAGGUACUUAAAUAAUUUUUCCCAAAAUCACAGAACCCAUACAUAUAAUUUAUAGAUAACCCCUGCACUUUAAUUGUAAUGAAACAUCAGAUAAAGCAAAAAGCAAGAACUUUUAGAGAGAGAAUCUCUCUCAAACAUGUGUGCAUGCAUGCACGGACACACACACACACACACAACAUAACUUUGAGAGAUACAGACCUAAGAAUUUUAAAGAAUUUAUGUUACUCGUGUUCUAACUACUAAGUAUGCCUGUGCAUCUGCUAUAUAUAACAUUUUGUUUCUCUGUCAACUUGCCUGGGAUCCCACUACUUCUAAUGUGCACCUGUAGUUUACAUUAUGUACACCAAACUGUAAUUACAGCCACUCCUCUGCACACCAGCUUCACCCUUUUCUCUGAAUGCAGCAGGGUUCAGUCCUCUUUCCUACUUAUUAAAACUUCAAUCUUUGCUAAGCUUGCUCUGAGGCCUCUUGGCUCAAAGUUUUGCCUGGAACUUCUUCUCUAAAUCUCCCACAGAUUCAGUUAUAAUAACUAACCCUAUAGUAUAUUACAGAUCCUACAGAGAUCUGAUCAUAAAUUCCUCUCUUGUGAGCUGAAGAACUAUAAUUGAUAGUGGUAGGCUGAGAACAGAGCUUCAAAGAACACCAACUUAAACUGUAAAUUUCUCACAGAAUUCAUGGUUAAUCCUUGUGUUGCUAAUAGCUUGUACCUCUUAUAAGCUAUUCAUCGACAUUUUGUUUUCUAAAAGACUACUAGACUACAGAGCAUGGUACCCUGUCAGAGACCUCCUUCAGAUCAAUAGAUAGUGCAUUAUGUGGAUUACUCUGAGCUAAGAAUUCUCUUGCUGUUGUCUAUUGCAAGAAGAAGGCAUUAGACAUACCCUGAUCUGAAACAAGCCAAAACUGCAGUGCAUCAAAGUUAAUUGUCAUCCUGAUGAUCAGUUUACAAACAAAAUUUAACACACACAUAUAUAAAUACUUGUAUGCACAUAGUAUGUUUAAUGAUGGGAUAAUGUAGUUUUGUCAAAAUAUUUCUGCAAACCACACACUUAAUGUGAAAAAGAAAUUAAAAACACUUUAUUUCUUACAAGGUGUGCAUAUGCAACCUAUUCUGAUAUGUAUUUUGAUACAUUUAUUUACCUAUGAAUAUAUCCAUAAGAUUUAAUAUAGCAGUUAACAUUUACAGCUUUAUGGCAAUUAAGAUAGCUCUUAUGUUAUCGGUAGAUGAUUUUGUUCUUGACAAAGGUACAUAACUCUGGUUGCUCUAGUUUACUUGGGUUGAGUAAAAUUUUUUUGAUUUGUUCAGGGUAUGCUUAAAAGGAAAAUUUAGCUAUAAAAGAAAUCAGUUGUGACCUUCCAAUUUUUUUUUUAUCUAGACACAGAGUAUCGAAGACUAGCUUAUUUAACUUUAUUUUUGGUUCUGUAGCGACAGUCCAUUUAUUUAUGCAUUAUCUUUUACUUAUUUCAAUCAUUGGACAGUGACCAUGCUGGGGUACCACCUAUGACUUCUCAAAAUAAAUUAGUCAUUUGACCUAAACAACCACAUAUCCACAUCAGUGCAUCAGCCUCUCCUAUACACAUCAGUAUUCUUUAUAGUUUGCCUGCUAUUUCAAUUCAUUUUGUCCUCUGUAAAUUAAUUUUGUACAUCCAAGGGACCAGUUGAACACAUUUUCCUCCAGCCUUAGCUAAUCUGCAUUGUUUCUUAGUCUCAUAUCAGAGAACAUCAGAAAUCUUUAACACCAGGUCAGUAAUGAUUCAGGCGUCCUCUGAUCAAGGUUACACUUGUGACCAUCUCAUCUUUAUAUUCAGACACAAUCAUCAUUUAAUGUCUGUUGCCCAUGCAGGUUUCAUUGCUUUGUUGGUCACUGUUUAUAAUAAUAAUGAAAUUGUUGUAUACAGUGUUCAGGUGCACCACAACUUGCCAGAAAGUGCGUAUAAAGUGUAUGCAGUAAUGCAGAAAUGUCUGGAAAGCGAACAAUGUAUGAGUCAGAUACAUGCUUGUGUGUGUAUGGAGGGGAGGAAAUCAGGUGUAGUGUUGGCGAAUCUCAGAAAGCAUAGAAGUUUUGAAGGAUGCAGUGCUCCGACAACUAAUAACCGAUGCCGGCAGUUUGUUCCAUGCUUCAGCAACUCUCAGCGUGAAAAAAUGUUUCCUGAAGUCAUGGGAGCUGUGCUGUUUUCUGACUUUGUAAAUAUGUCCACGGGUGUUAGACGGGUGUUUGAUGGCAAAGAAGGCACAUUGGUAACAGACAGUUCUGAGGGGAAUAAAUCCAAAUGAUAAAUAAUCACUACUGUACUGUUGACAAAUUUUCUUGACUGGAGGCAUCAGUAAAGUGAAAAUGUGAAAACAAAUUUCUAUAGAUGGCAUCAGAAAGGCAGUAUGGUAUUCCCAAAGAGAAUAAGAAGUCAAUAGAGCAGAAUCAGAUGACAUGUCUUUAUUGGAGCCAAUACAGAUCUAGUUCAUCUGCCUGCCAGCAUUUCAAAAAUUAAAGUUUAUCAAGAAUUUUAAAAUUUGGCACAUUAAUGUACUUUUCCAAGCAAACUUGCUGGAGUUAUUCAACUUUUUCCAGAAAAAUGUUUUUAAAAACUUAUAUGAGAUUUAAAGUUUGAUCACUUAAAUCACCCAGUCAAGAAACACGAUUUCAAAGCUGUCAUUGUGUGCAUGACUGCACAUUUUGUCAACAUCCUGAAAAUAGCACUUGUGUUUUGAUAUGAAACCACAGAAUUAUGCAUGACAUAUAACCCCUCAUAACUCUUUUUUAUUUUUCAGAGUUUUGGGGAAAUUUUUGUGAAUUUGAAUUCUACACGUGGGACUUCAUACAAUUAUGCCGAAAAAAAAAAAGGUUAACAUUAACCAAAAAAAAAAAUAUUUGUAGUGGAGUGUGAUUUAAGGCCUAGGCCUAUUUGGCUGCAAUUUUUAGCAUGCAUGACAACCAUCUCAAUGAGUGUGACAAAAAUAUUUGAUUGAUAAACAAGUCUGCGUUUUAAAUACAAGGAACAUCUCAUGCGAGUAGUCAAAUCGAUAAAAGUGCAUCCUUAUUCUAGGCAUACCUAAAUAUUAGUAAAUGCA
This 7100-nucleotide long non-coding RNA is filed under the name Octopus vulgaris (common octopus). Lineage: Eukaryota; Metazoa; Mollusca; Cephalopoda; Octopoda; Octopodidae. The record is from RNAcentral.